This 464-nucleotide ribosomal RNA is filed under the name uncultured bacterium. RNAcentral's name for it is "SSU rRNA". It matches the Rfam family "Bacterial small subunit ribosomal RNA", at positions 26 to 518 of the family's 1533-position model. The record is from RNAcentral.
AGGACUAACGCUGGCGGCGUGCCUAACACAUGCAAGUCGAACGAGGUAGCAAUACCUAGUGGCAGACGGGUGAGUAACACGUGGUCAACCUGCCUUCGCGUGGGGGAUAACUAGUCGAAAGGUUAGCUAAUACCGCAUACGAUCGUUUCGGGGCAUCCCGAGACGAUGAAAGGAGCAAUCCGCACGAAGAGGGGACUGCGUCCCAUUAGUUAGUUGGUGGGGUAAUGGCCUACCAAGACUCCGAUGGGUAGCUGGCUUGAGAGAGCGACCAGCCACACUGGAACUGAGACACGGUCCAGACUCCUACGGGAGGCAGCAGUGAGGAAUUUUCCGCAAUGGGCGAAAGCCUGACGGAGCGACGCCGCGUGUGGGAAGAAGGCCUUCGGGCGUAAACCACUGUCGAAGGGGACGAUAUUGACGGUACCCUUGGAGGAAGCCCCGGCUAACUACGUGCCAGCAGCCGC